GUGGGGAAUAUUGGACAAUGGGGGGAACCCUGAUCCAGCCAUGCCGCGUGUGUGAAGAAGGCCUUUUGGUUGUAAAGCACUUUAAGCGAGGAGGAGGCUACCGAGAUUAAUACUCUUGGAUAGUGGACGUUACUCGCAGAAUAAGCACCGGCUAACUCUGUGCCAGCAGCCGCGGUAAUACAGAGGGUGCAAGCGUUAAUCGGAUUUACUGGGCGUAAAGCGCGCGUAGGUGGCCACUUAAGUCAAAUGUGAAAUCCCCGAGCUUAACUUGGGAAUUGCAGUCGAUACUGGUUGGCUAGAGUCUGGGAGAGGAGGGUAGAAUUCCAUGUGUAGCGGUGAAAUGCGUAGAGAUCUGGAGGAAUACCGAUGGCGAAGGCAGCCAUCUGGCCUAAUACUGACACUGAGGUGCGAAAGCAUGGGGAGCAAACAGGAUUAGAAACCCGGGUAGUCC
This 451-nucleotide ribosomal RNA is filed under the name uncultured bacterium. RNAcentral's name for it is "partial 16S ribosomal RNA". It matches the Rfam family "Bacterial small subunit ribosomal RNA", at positions 354 to 796 of the family's 1533-position model. The record is from RNAcentral.